This is a long non-coding RNA of Symphalangus syndactylus (siamang), 449 nucleotides long. RefSeq lists it as uncharacterized. The record is from RefSeq and is a predicted model, not a curated record. Lineage: Eukaryota; Metazoa; Chordata; Mammalia; Primates; Hylobatidae.
GCUCGUUACAGAGCACAGGUACUGGCUAAAUGUGUCCGAUCAUUCAUCAUGAUUUCGCCCUCCACUUUGUCACAGCGUGGGGAUUUAAGGAAGAUAGAUGGUACAAGAUGUUGUCUCCUCCGCAGACGCUUUCUGCUCUGGUAGAAAUUACAGCCCACUUUACAGAGGACAAAACCUGGACGCAGAGAGCAGCUGGACCAAGAUCUCGGCUCUGCGCACUUCUCCCCACCGCCGUCUCUCACCUGGAUGCAGGUAACAGCUUGUGCUCCCCACCCCAUCACUCAGCCUUCUCCACUCUGCAGCCAGAGUGGGCUUUUGAAAUCACCAAGCUGAGUAUGACAUUCCCAUGCUUACACCCUUCUUCAGCGAGCCUCUCCCUGGUGCCGUCGGGAGGAAGAAGUCCCAAGUACUAAAUAGUUCCAUGCCCUAAACUUUGGAUCCUGCCUGGA